GGAGAGAUGGCUGAGUGGCCGAAAGCGAUCGCCUGCUAAGCGAUUGUACGCCCCUUAAAGGUGUACCGCGGGUUCGAAUCCCGCUCUCUCCGCCA
Molecule: transfer RNA, 95 nt
Filed under: Pseudomonadota bacterium
Lineage: Bacteria; Pseudomonadati; Pseudomonadota
Also listed under: 3 other names
Description: tRNA-Ser
Rfam family: tRNA
About the family: Transfer RNA (tRNA) molecules are approximately 80 nucleotides in length. Their secondary structure includes four short double-helical elements and three loops (D, anti-codon, and T loops).
Source: RNAcentral